UCCGUUUUAAUUCCGAUUUUCGUGAUCUUUACGUUCGUGUGAUUCGUAGCGAUACGUAGAAUCUUUUUAUAAACUUUUCAUACUGUUUUUAUAUGAUUGGUGUAAUGUUCUAAUUGUAGUCUUGUUUGCAUCGUGUAUGUUGUCUCCGUUGUUUGUGUGUUGAUGAUCGAUGAUCGAGUUUAGUCGAUGAGCAAUUCGUGGUGAUCAAGAGUGCUCCAGUGAUCAAGAUUAGAGCUUUGGAC
This 242-nucleotide long non-coding RNA is filed under the name Sorghum bicolor (sorghum). RNAcentral describes it as "long non-coding RNA (SBIC_LNC008123)". The record is from RNAcentral. Lineage: Eukaryota; Viridiplantae; Streptophyta; Magnoliopsida; Poales; Poaceae.